UGAGUUUCAUUAAACUCCAGGAGUUGGUUAUGGACAGGGAGACUUGGCAUGCUGCAGUCCAUGGGGUCACAAAAAGCCGGACAUGACUGAGCAACUGAACUGAAUAAAACUUACUUCCCUGGUAAGCAACUAUUUGAUUCUGCCCUUUGAAACUCAGGGAGGUCAAGGAGGCUGAAUGAGCCCUAUUUCUUACAAACAAUGGAACCGGGACAUAGAAAGGGUUUGUACCUGGGAGGGCCCCACAGGGUUAUCCAUACCCCUCAGUCACACACACAUUGGAACUGGGUUCAGAAAAACAGGGUUAAAAAUCAUGUGUGUUUGGACAAAAUCAUAUUUUCUGCCAUUUCAAUAAACAAAGGAAUAAUAAACAAUAAACAAAGGCCCACCAUCAAGCCAUCCAUCACUUUAGCCACUCCAAAGUGCAACCAGAGGGGAAUUUAGAACAGAGAUAAAAUGGGAUAGGGCCCUGGCCGUAUUCCUUUGAUGAACAUCAAAAAGCCCAGACUUUUGCAUUGUAGAAAAGUACCAAAAUCAUUAAGUUGAGAUGUCUGUUUUUUGUGAUUAGCAGUGAUUUUUGGAUGUUCAACUACAUGUUUUUUAUUUCUUUUUAUUUUCUUCUUUUUGUAUGUUUUAUUGAAAAACUCCUAUGUAUCCUGACCCUUCUUUUAACUCUUUGUAACAAUUCCUUAGAGCUAUCCAAGAGGCUGAUUCCCAGGCUAUCAUCGUCAAUAAGGUCCCUGAAUAAAUCAUAGCUCUUGACUUUUAGGUUGUCCUUUUUUUUUUUUUCCCCAGUCAUAUGUGCAAGAAGGGUUGAGGGGAAUAACUGCUGGGACAAGGACACGAGAGGGCAACCAUGGAAAACUCUCAGCCCUCUAAAAGUAAAGUAGUAUAUGAGCAAAUACAUGUGACCCACCUCCAUCCCUUUAGUAUCAGCACCAUUCCCUUCCCUUUGGCUCCAGCCAUGCCAGUGCCCCGCCUCCUCACAAACGGAAGGACCUAACACCUGGGGCUGGGCCUUGGAAGAGGGGCUGUAAGACCACGGCUCUGGGGAGGAGGGAAGAAAGGAGAAGAACCUGUUGAACUAGGAGGAAGCAUUCUUGUCAUUCUCUCCCCAGACUGAAAAGGAAAGCGAGUGAGAGAGCAAGUGAGGUGAACUGGAGAGGGGAUGAGGAGGGACUGUGAAAGUUUGGACGUUCUCCCCUUCUGAGUCAGAAGCCGGUGGGUGCCGUGUUGUCUCCUUGCUUCCAGCAGGAUCUGAAGAAGGCAAACUUCGGACUGCUCUCAUCUUGCAAGGCUGUGUGUAUGACAAGGGGCAAGGUUCGGUGCCCAGAGGAGGAUGGAAUUUGAUGCGCAAUAGACAGAUUGACUUGGGGCCUCUGCAUAGCCAUGCCAUCCCAGAUGCAAGAUGGGAGAGGCUCGCCCAGCCUGCAUUCUUCUGUGAAACGUAAAUUUGCAAGGCAUUGCGUUGGCCAGUGCCUAAGUUCCCUCAUCCAUACAUAAUAAAAUGCAUCAUGUUUUCAAGUUAACCAACAAUGAAAAUUGGUGAGUAUCUUUUCCUUUUUCUUCUUUCUACAAUGCAAUCAGAUAGGCUAUUCCUGUCAUUUAUAACAUACAUGUGUCACAGAAGGUGAAUUCAUCGGAGAAGGGAGAGGGACUGGGGAAAAUGUGAAAGGGACCUCUUAAUCUGUCUCAAGAUUUCAGUUCAGUUCAGUCCAAUGUUGCUCAGUCGUGUCUGAUUCUUUUAAUUCAGUUUACUAACAGCGCAAUGGAUUAAUCUCACUCCCUCUUUUGAUGCACAGUGAAGAGGAAAAGUAAAAGAAGGAUUGGAACAAGACUCCAGGACAGAGUUUUAAAUAAAGUGAUGCUUAAUAAAUAUGCAAUGAAUUGAUUGGUCAAGGAGAAACAGUUAAUGACAGACACCCAAUUCAGGGCAACAGUUCAACAAGAGUCCUGGAUAAGGAAGCUGAAGCUGAAACAGAUUAAGUGACCAGUCCACCGUCCCAAAGGGAUGCUUCCAGGACCAGAACCCAGGUGUCCUGACUCCCAGGCCAGGCUGACUCCUUGGCUCUAACUGCGUCUCCUGAGACUUUGCUUUGGGUUCAGCUGCCAUUUGGAUUCAGCCACGCGGGACACUUCUCCCCAGACUGACUUUGUGCUGCUCCUGACCUCUCUGCUAGACUUGUUAAGAGUAUGCCUGCCACAGUGCUUUUAGAACUAGGUCCCAGAGAUAAGCACACUCAUUUUUGCUCAGAAAAAUCCCCAAAGCCACCACCCUAUUGAAACCAAGCAAACCCUGUGAGGAUCCCAGGCACAGAAACUUUUUGGUGUCCCCCAUUUUUUAUGUGUAAGGAACAGGCUCCAGGACCUUCCCUGAGUUCCACAGGGCAGAUUCAACAGGUGCUAAUCAGGAAAGGGAGGAGAAGCAAGACAAGGGAGAACAGGUCAAGAAAGAAUAGCACAGCCUUGGGGCAAGGCCUCUUUCUGCCUCAAGGGAUACACAUCUCUGUACAGAAUUAAACCCCCAACAGAAGGAAGGUGAACUAUUUGAUGAAGCAUUCUUCAUUCCAGAGAGAAGGUCAUAGUUCUAUAACCUUCAGAACCACAAAAGUUCCUCAAGAGACAACCUGAGACCAGAUUAAAAGAAUGCAGGCCCUGCACACACCCUGAUCCUUAUCAACUAUCCUGCUCCAGAACCACUGAUAUAAAACUCCUCACCAAAUCCAUCCCCAGGUUGGAGCACACCGUUUUUGAUGGUGGGAGCCCACUAUGUCCCCCUUAGCCUGGCAAAGCAAUGAAGCUAUUCUUUUCUACUUCACCCAAAACUCUGUCUCCAAGAUUCAAUUAGGCACCAGGGCAGAGAGGUCAAGUUUUCGGCAUCGUUAUGACCUCCUAACUGGAAUCGCUGUCAGAAGCACUUUGUGAUUUUCCUAUCUGGCUCAGUAAUCCUGGGAAAAUCACUUCACCUCUUUCAACUCCAGCAUCUUUACCUGUAAAAUAUGGAUGAUAAUACAAUCCAUUCAAUGUUGUUGACAAGAUUAAAUGAGAUAGCUGUUUUGAAGGGCUUACUAGGUGCUCAGCAAGGGUGAUCUGCCCAUCCUUCCUCCUCCCUCUUGCUUUUUCUUCUUUGCUAUGGUUCAUCUUGCAUGUCACUCCCAGACUGAUCUUUCUGAAACUGCACUCACAUCAGGCUAUUCCCUGGAUCACAAGUCUCAACUGACUUCCCACUGCCAAGUCCAGUCACCUCUCCAUGUACCAUGCAGGACCCUGGGCCACCAGCCACCCACUCCACUCUUCUCCCAUGCUUCAUCUCCCACUGCUCAGGAACACACUCAGUCUGGUUGCACAGUUCCCAUUCACGCUGACUAGUUCCUCUUUUCCUUUGCUUCUGCUAGUUCAACCCCCUGGAAUGCCCCUCCCUGCCUCUCUAGCCCUGGAGGCAUCCCUCCCUGCUAUGUGAAUCUCUCCCUUCUCUUAUUUCCAACUCCAUUUCCUAUCUGUAUCUGUUGCUUCAGCACCAAUCACAGAGUUACAUCAGUCUUCAGGUUGUUUCCCCUGCCUAUAUCUUUCCUUAUCAAUUUUACUGUCCCUCCAGGGCAGUCCAAGGUCUUUACCACUUUGAGUUCCCACUAAGCCGGUAGAGUUAAGUGGGUACACCAAAUGAAUCCACAUCUCCAGGCCUGAGUCCAAAUCCCAGGCACAGUAUUUCCUUGCUGUCUCUUUUUCUCAGCUGUAAAAUUAAUAAUUUGACUUCUUUGGUAGAGCGUUGCUUUUUUCAAAUGUGCUUUGCCAUCAAAUAAAUAUUCACUGCAUACCUGC
Molecule: long non-coding RNA, 3816 nt
Organism: Bubalus bubalis (water buffalo)
Lineage: Eukaryota; Metazoa; Chordata; Mammalia; Artiodactyla; Bovidae
Exons: 2
Source: RefSeq, a predicted model, not a curated record